RNAcentral lists this ribosomal RNA (97 nucleotides) under Pseudomonas fluorescens. The record is from RNAcentral. Lineage: Bacteria; Pseudomonadati; Pseudomonadota; Gammaproteobacteria; Pseudomonadales; Pseudomonadaceae. RNAcentral also lists the same sequence under 9 other names.
UGGAACCACCUGAUCCCAUCCCGAACUCAGAAGUGAAACGAUGCAUCGCCGAUGGUAGUGUGGGGUUUCCCCAUGUGAGAGUAGGUCAUCGUCAAGA